Molecule: long non-coding RNA, 554 nt
Organism: Nilaparvata lugens (brown planthopper)
Lineage: Eukaryota; Metazoa; Arthropoda; Insecta; Hemiptera; Delphacidae
Exons: 3
Source: RefSeq, a predicted model, not a curated record
CGAGUCGAGGAGCAUAUCCGAUUAUUUCAUUUCGUCAAAUCAACACAUCAUUUUCUCACCUCUACACUCGAGGAGUCAAAGGCAGUAUCUACACCUGAGAGGAAUCGAUCAUACCAUAGGCCGCUAUCUACACCUGUACCAUAGACCGCUAUCUACACCUGUACCAUAGACCGCUAUCUACACCUGUAGCAUAGGCCGCUAUCUACACCUCUACACUCGAGGAGAUUCACGCAGCAUCAACACAUUAUCAUGCCGAGGGAACGCAGACUUCGUGGGAUCAAUUCAAGCGCAGUUCGCCAUCGCAUCAGUUUUGAGGACGAGGAUAUUGACAUUGAGAGUGUGCUUGAGAGGACGAAAACUCGAGUUUUCGAGAUAAUUAGGGAGCAUGCGGCACGGUAUGAUGCAAAUGUUAAGUGGUACAUAGUGCUUAACGUUUUAUUGUAUAAAUUAGUGGUGCUGGAUGACAAGGUUGAUGAGUCUGUUUCAUCUCUAAUAAAUCUACAUAGUUACUCCAACAUAGCGCUAAACGUGCUUGAGAACUAUGAAGAUUUUAA